RNAcentral lists this ribosomal RNA (464 nucleotides) under uncultured bacterium. RNAcentral's name for it is "partial 16S ribosomal RNA". It matches the Rfam family "Bacterial small subunit ribosomal RNA", at positions 339 to 795 of the family's 1533-position model. The record is from RNAcentral.
CUACGGGUGGCAGCAGUGGGGAAUAUUGCACAAUGGGCGCAAGCCUGAUGCAGCCAUGCCGCGUGUAUGAAGAAGGCCUUCGGGUUGUAAAGUACUUUCAGCGGGGAGGAAGGGAGUAAAGUUAAUACCUUUGCUCAUUGACGUUACCCGCAGAAGAAGCACCGACGAACUCCGUGCCAGCAGCCGCGGUAAUACGGAGGGUGCAAGCGUUAAUCGGAAUUACUGGGCGUAAAGCGCACGCAGGCGGUUUGUUAAGUCAGAGGUGAAAUCCCCGGGCUCAACCGGGGAACUGCAUCUGAUACUGGCAAGCUUGAGUCUCGUAGAGGGGGGUAGAAUUCCAGGUGUAGCGGUGAAAUGCGUAGAGAUCGGGAGGAAUACCGGUGGCGAAGGCGGCCCCCUGGACGAAGACUGACGCUCAGGUGCGAAAGCGUGGGGAGCAAACAGGAUUAGAUACCCUUGUAGUC